Molecule: long non-coding RNA, 2099 nt
Organism: Centrocercus urophasianus (Greater sage-grouse)
Lineage: Eukaryota; Metazoa; Chordata; Aves; Galliformes; Phasianidae
Exons: 7
Source: RefSeq, a predicted model, not a curated record
GCGCUUCCCUGAACGCGUAGUGCUGCCGUGAUGGCCUGUGGUUUUGUGCAGGGUGUCGCGGCCGGCUGGGUUCGUCACCGGUUCUACGGCUGUUACCUCUCCAAAGCGGGCGCUGUGGGCACCGUGCUUAGCCUCAUGGAGUCACACCUUGCGGCUGUGUAAGCCCACCAGACCGAGCAGAAAUACCUGACACGCAGCGUUACCAGGAGCUAGUUCUCCAUGCCUGGUCUAGGUGUAACUGCUUGCCUGUUUCACCCAGACCACGUGGAACUGGGAUUGUUUAGUCUGGAGAAGGGAAGACUCAGGGGUCCUAAUUGCUACAACUGCCUGAGAGAAGGUUGUGGUGAGAAGGUAAACAGUAUUUUGCAUGAAAUCGGUGAGUAUGAAAAAUAAGUUUUCACAAUACCACAUGCAUUCUUCAGCAUAAAUGUUUUGCAGAUAUUUUCUCUGUAGUUUCACAUUCAGAAAACAGGAAAAACAAGAUGAAUGGCAUGUAGGCAGUGGUUAAUAAUUGUGACCUUAUCAAAGGCCUUUUGAAAUGGGGAAAAAAAAAUACCAAACAACCAACUUGAAUAAAUCUUUAAGAAAUAAUAGGUCUUCUGUAGGUACAGCCUAAUUCAGUACAGUGCUAGAGCAGCUCCACAACUCAGUAGACUUGCACUAAUCUAAAUUGUGUAAUGAUAGCCCUAACAGUAGUUAUGACCAAAUUUUUCAAUACGUUAACAAUUUAUGUUAUAUUUGGUUUGAGUUACAGGUGAUUAAGCAUUGGAGAAUUUGGCUUAAUCUGUGCAUUUUGCAAGUGGAAGAAGAAUAAUUCUUCAUUUAUAUGACUUCUCAGCUGAAAUAGCAUGUCUUUACUCGCUCAUCAUGUACUUUUCUGUGCAUUUUACGUCCUGCCCAGCAUAUGGGUGAAGCAAGGCACAGGACUGAUGAUGAGCGACUUGGCAGCAAUUAUUUCAGAGAUAAAGGAAAUGAGGCUUCAUUACUUAGGAUACUCAAGGUGUACAUUUAACAGUUUGAAUCUUCGAAGUGUAAAAAAAAAAAAAAAAAAAAAGAGGCAUGAAAUAAAUCUGGACAAACCAUUCUCCUAGAAGCUGAGAACUUGCCCAGUGCUAACCCCGGAAAUGGCCAAGUGUUCACAAAAAAGCUGAAUUUUCAAACACAGAGCAGAUAAGGGUGAGCAUUACAGCUUUAAAAGUUUCUGAAUGGAGUAAUGUACUGGGACUCUAUCGUGUGGUCAUCGGUUAUAAGCCAGUACUCAUGUUGGACGCUGAUUGCAUUGUACUGAUGCAAUCAGAUUAAAGCAACAGGUGGGAGGAUCUUUUUUCACUGGGAGAAAGGAGAAUGAAAUACUCUAAUGCACCCGUAUGGUGGAGUGCUGAGUACAACAAACAAGACAUCCUUUGAAGCUUUCUUCUUUUCAGUGAUUAAAAUCCCUGCUUAAAUUCUGAUGCUAUGCUUACCAAGAAAGCCACCGACUUUAAACAAUUCAUUUUCUGAUCUACAAUACUUCCAUCUUUCUCACUCAUCCAAAGACAUUCAAUUUCCAAUGCAGUAUUUUGGAAGGAAAAAUCUUAAUGGAGUUCAGUAGCGUGCUUGAUGAAUGCACCCACAACUUUCCUGUCCAUGCAAAACCAUAAUAAUUGACUGCUGCUAAGAAACUAGGUUGAAGAUGAUGAGCUUUCUGGUUCAUCAUGUGUUUGUUAACUGUAUUAAAAUGUUAGUUGUAGGUUGUGUCAGCUCAAUUUCCUUGGACAUCAAACUUUGUAUUGAUGGCAGUAGCAUGCUGCUGUUGACCUGGAUGGUCAAAGAUAGAGCACAGUGGAAGAAUGGCAGUUGUGAUCAGCAUGCACAAAAUCACUGCAGUUAUGCUGUUAGAUUUUUCUUCACAAACAAAAGGACAUGAGCCAGCAACAUGCCCUCACAGCCCAGAAAGUCAACCAUAUCCUGGGCUACAUCAAAAGAAGUGUGGCCAGCAGGGUGACAGAGGUGAUCCUGUCCAUCUGCUCCGUACUGGUGAGGCCUCACCUGGAUUCUGGAUCUGGUCACCCAGAUGACUGGAGUCUUGCCAAUGUGACUCCCAUUUAUAAGAAAGGUUG